GAAAAUAUGAAAGCCAAAACAGGGCAGAAUCUGGAAAAUAUAAAAGCCAAAACAGGGCAGAAUCUGGAAAAUGAAAGCCAAAACUGAGGGCAGAAUCUGGAAAAUAUAAAAGUCAAAACAGCAAAAUCUGGAAAAUAUGAAAGCAAAAACUGAGGGCAAAAUCCAGAAAAUAUUAAAGCCAGAAGUGAGGGCAGAAUCUGGAAAAUAUGAAAGCCAAAACUGAGGACAGAAUCUGGAAAAUGUGAAAGGCAGAGCUGAGGGCAAAAUCUGGAAAAUAUGAAAGCCAAAACUGAGGACAGAAUCUGGAAAAUAUAAAAGCCAAAAUUGGAGGCAGAAUCUGGAAAAUAUAAAAGCCAAAACUGAGGGCAAAAUCUGGGAAAUAUAAAAGCCAAAACAGGGCAGAAUCUGGAAAAUUAAAGGCAGAAGUGAGGGCAGAAUCUGGAAAAUAUAAAAGCCAAAACUGAGGGCAGAAUCUGGAAAACAUAAAAGUCAAAAUGGCAAAAUCUGGAAAAUGUGAAAGGCAAAACUGGAGGCAGAAUCUGGAAAAUAUAAAAGCCAAAACUGAGGGCAGAAUCUGGAAAAUAUGAAAGCCAAAACAGGGCAGAAUCUGGAAAAUAUAAAAGCCAAAACUGGGCAGAAUCUGGAAAAUGAAAGGCAAAACUGAGGGCAAAAUCUGGAAAAUAUAAAAGCCAAAACUGAGGGCAGAAUCUGGGAAAAUAUAAAAGUCAAAACGGCAAAAUCUGGAAAAUAUGAAAGCAAAAACUGAGGGCAAAAUCCAGAAAAUAUUAAAGCCAGAAGUGAGGGCAGAAUGUGGAAAUAUGAAAGCCGAAACUGAGGACAGAAUCUGGAAAAUGUGAAAGGCAGAACUGAGGGCAGAAUCUGGAAAAUAUGAAAGCCAAAACUGAGGGCAGAAUCUGAAAACUGUGAAAGGCAAAAGGGCCCAGGCUGGGCAGUGACCCCGCUCUGUCGCAGGCCGCAUUUCGGUGCCGCUGGACCUGCAGAGUCUGGACCAGUUUGACCCGUUUGCCGUCCCCACCAUCACGUACGUGAGCUGGCAGCACCGGGGGGGGGUCCUGGUGGUGCCAGAGCCCCCCCAGCUCAUCCCGUUUGUCCGGCAGAUCCCUGUGCCAGGAGCUGGACACGGCCGGCAGCGACGGGGAGCAGGAGGAGGUCGGGGAGACGGAGCCGAAACGCCGAGCGAGGGACUAUAGGAAGACAAGCCUGGCCCCUUACGUGAGGGUCU
This is a long non-coding RNA of Cyanistes caeruleus (blue tit), 1243 nucleotides long. NCBI's taxonomy places the organism in Eukaryota, Metazoa, Chordata, Aves, Passeriformes, Paridae. The record is from Ensembl.